RNAcentral lists this ribosomal RNA (439 nucleotides) under uncultured bacterium. RNAcentral describes it as "partial 16S ribosomal RNA". It matches the Rfam family "Bacterial small subunit ribosomal RNA", at positions 338 to 795 of the family's 1533-position model. The record is from RNAcentral.
CCUACGGGAGGCAGCAGUGGGGAAUAUUGCACAAUGGGCGAAAGCCUGAUGCAGCAACGCCGCGUGAGCGAUGAAGGCCUUCGGGUCGUAAAGCUCUGUCCUCAAGGAAGAUAAUGACGGCACUUGAGGAGGAAGCCCCGGCUAACUACGUACCAGCAGCCGCGGUAAUAUGGAGGGUGCUAGCGUUAUCCGGAAUUACUGGGCGUAAAGGGUGCGUAGGUGGUUUCUUAAGUCAGAGGUGAAAGGCUAGGGCUCAACCGUAGUAAGCCUUUGAAACUGGAGAACUUGAGUGCAGGAGAGGGGAGUGGAAUUCGUGGUGUAGCGGUGAAAUGCGUAGAUAUUAGGAAGAACACCGGUUGCGAAGGCAGCUCACUGGACUGUAACUGACACUGAGGCACGAAAGCGUGGGUAGCAAACAGGAUUAGAUACCCCUGUAGUC